This is a small nuclear RNA of Salvator merianae (Argentine black and white tegu), 91 nucleotides long. NCBI's taxonomy places the organism in Eukaryota, Metazoa, Chordata, Lepidosauria, Squamata, Teiidae. The record is from Ensembl.
GGUUUCUGAAAUCUUAGGAUAAAAUUAGAGAAGAUUAGCCUGGUCCCUGUGCAAGAAUGACACACAUAUUUGUAAAGUUUUCCAUAUUUUU